RNAcentral lists this ribosomal RNA (346 nucleotides) under Candidatus Peribacteria bacterium. Its description in RNAcentral is "bacterial SSU rRNA". It matches the Rfam family "Bacterial small subunit ribosomal RNA", at positions 1 to 339 of the family's 1533-position model. The record is from RNAcentral. Lineage: Bacteria; Candidatus Peregrinibacteriota; Candidatus Peribacteria.
UUUUUGAAGAGUUUGACCCUGGCUCAGGAUGAACGCUAGCGGAACGCCUAACACAUGCAAGUCGAACGAAUUCUGCGUUGUAGCAAUACAUAGUAGAAUUAGUGGCAAACGAGCGAGUAACGCGUACCUAACUUGCCCUCGAGAUGAGAAUAACUACAGAGAUGUAGCUAAUCCUCAAUAUGCUCACAUGAAGUGAAAUUCUUUAGUGAGGAAAGAUUUAUCGCUCGGGGAGAGGGGUGCGUCCUAUCAGGUAGUUGGUUGAGGUAAUGGCUCACCAAGCCUAUGACGGGUAGCCGGUCUGAGAUGAUGUCCGGCCGCGAUGGGACUGAGAUACGGCCCAUACUCC